AUUUUAUACAAUUUUUAUAUAUUUUUUUUAUUUAAUAUAAUGUGCAUAUCCUGCCGAUGUACUGGAAUCUUAAGCUGCCUAGGAAAUUUAUCUUAUGUAUUUGAAAGGCUAGCAUCAUGCUGCGCUAUGACUGCUGUUGUGUCCUGUAUCGUCACCACAUUGAUUUUUAUGCUGGGAAUUGGCGUCGGUCUUGGCUACAACUAUUGUUACGUUGACUUUACUUCUGGGCAGCGUGCCAGCGCUGAUGCAUUUGAUUCCUUUGAGGACCUCAUGGUGAUUCCUGUAAAUGAUACAGAGUCUGACGACAGAUCGAGCAAAGAUUCGAGGAAGUCGUUCCAGCCUUUCGACCUACCUAUUAACAGGAAUGUCAAGUUAUCUGUACCCCUGAAUGAGGGCAUUGACUUUACACAACUUCUGAAUAAAAUAAGAAGUUCACGAAAGAAUGUAACUCUUCAAUUAAUUGUUUAGGAGAGGUAGGAAAUAAUGUGGAGGACAAAGGUACACAAGCAAGAGUACCAGACAGUAACAAUAAUGACGAUAUAAGAUUAAAAACUGAACUCGUGCCACGAACUACAUUCAAAAUAAUUAGCUAUUUUCUCUGUGAAAAACUUCAGUAGCGCAUUGGUAUUUUUGUAAUCUACGAACACUAUCCAAUAAUUUUUGUAGUGAAUUAUACAAUGUAUAGUGUUUGAAAUGUCAAACUGAU
Pieris rapae (cabbage white) is the source of this 706-nucleotide long non-coding RNA. RefSeq lists it as uncharacterized. The transcript has 3 exons. NCBI's taxonomy places the organism in Eukaryota, Metazoa, Arthropoda, Insecta, Lepidoptera, Pieridae. The record is from RefSeq and is a predicted model, not a curated record.